Hypoxylon sp. EC38 is the source of this 88-nucleotide non-coding RNA. Lineage: Eukaryota; Fungi; Ascomycota; Sordariomycetes; Xylariales; Hypoxylaceae. The record is from the annotation of a GenBank genome assembly.
GCCUGCAUGGAGUAGUGGUUAACUCACCGGACUCCGACCUUGUAGUCAGAGUUAGUCGGGAACCCGGGUUCGAAUCCCGGUGCAGGUC